UGCUUUUGAUCACGCCUGGAAAAAAUUGCCCCUCAUAAGAUCAUCACAAGCAACACAGAGAAAUGUUGGCCUGCUGAAAAUAGAAGUGCAGAGACUCUCUCCCGUGACAGAAUGAGGCGUGGAGGAUUCGCAGAACUGUUUCCUCAAGGGCCCCAUAGUGAUACCGUCUUUUAUUCCUUUUAGUAGCCUCAUCAGUGCCCUGAAUGCAGUGACUUGUGUCAGGACAGCGUUCUCCAUGCUGGCUGCGGGUGACGGCCUGAGCCCCGGUACAGUAUUCCUGCUGGCCUCAGACCGCCCUCCCAGGCAAAACCUGGGGCCAGCCUGUCUGCAGUCUGAAAUGCCCUCCAGAUUAUCCUAAAUGUGCAUGUUAAUGACCAUCAGAUCUGAGAGCUGGUGGA
RNAcentral lists this long non-coding RNA (398 nucleotides) under Homo sapiens (human). RNAcentral describes it as "non-protein coding lnc-IRX4-4:3". Lineage: Eukaryota; Metazoa; Chordata; Mammalia; Primates; Hominidae. The record is from RNAcentral.